UGGAUCCAGACUUUGAUCAUGGCUCAGGACGAACGCUGGCGGCGUGCCUAGCACAUGCAAGUCGAGCGGGAAGCUUUUUGUGGCGGCUUCGGCCAAAGCAGAAAGUGGAGAGCGGCGGACGGGUGAGUAACGCGUGAGUAACCUGCCCAUAAGAGGGGGAUAACACUCGGAAACGGGUGCUAAUACCGCAUAACAUAUUGAAAUCGCCUGGUUUUGAUAUCAAAGAUUUAUCGCUUAUGGAUGGACUCGCGUCCAAUUAGCUAGUAGGCGGGGUAACGGCCCACCUAGGCGACGAUUGGUAGCCGAACUGAGAGGUUGAUCGGCCACAUUGGGACUGAGACACGGCCCAGACUCCUACGGGAGGCAGCAGUGGGGAAUAUUGCGCAAUGGGGGGAACCCUGACGCAGCAACGCCGCGUGAAGGAAGAAGGCUUUCGGGUCGUAAACUUUUGUCUGGAGGGACGAUAGUGACGGUACCUCCGGAGGAAGCCACGGCUAACUACGUGCCAGCAGCCGCGGUAAUACGUAGGUGGCGAGCGUUGUCCGGAAUUACUGGGUGUAAAGGGCGCGUAGACGGGCAUGUAAGUCAGAUGUGAAAUACCGGGGCUCAACUCCGGGGCUGCAUUUGAAACUGCAAGUCUUGAGUGCAGGAGAGGGAAGCGGAAUUCCUAGUGUAGCGGUGAAAUGCGUAGAUAUUAGGAGGAACACCAGUGGCGAAGGCGGCUUUCUGGACUGUAACUGACGUUGAGGCGCGAAAGCGUGGGUAGCAAACAGGAUUAGAUACCCUGGUAGUCCUCGCCGUAAACGAUGAUUACUAGGUGUGGGAGGUAUCGACCCCUUCCGUGCCGGAGUUAACACAAUAAGUAAUCCACCUGGGGAGUACGGCCGCAAGGUUGCAACUCAAAUGAAUUGACGGA
RNAcentral lists this ribosomal RNA (916 nucleotides) under uncultured Bacillota bacterium. Its description in RNAcentral is "bacterial SSU rRNA". It matches the Rfam family "Bacterial small subunit ribosomal RNA", at positions 1 to 917 of the family's 1533-position model. The record is from RNAcentral. Lineage: Bacteria; Bacillati; Bacillota.